This is a non-coding RNA of Schizosaccharomyces pombe (fission yeast), 1106 nucleotides long. NCBI's taxonomy places the organism in Eukaryota, Fungi, Ascomycota, Schizosaccharomycetes, Schizosaccharomycetales, Schizosaccharomycetaceae. The record is from the annotation of a GenBank genome assembly.
UUGUAAAUGUGAAAAAAUCAUUAGAAGUUUUGAACGAACUAUUGAAUUUGGGGAUGUUACACUCUUCCGAGUUCGAUGGUUUAGCAGCAUUUGAGGAUGGGGAGAAUUCGAAAGAGAAAGGAUUUGAGGAUUUAUCAAAAUGGAACUUUGAUCCAAAAGAAGAAUGAAUUGACUGUUCAUUGGACGAAAAAAGAUUGGAUGCACGAGACUUAUAUACUGAAGGUUUAGACUCUGGUAUUUUACCGUCAUUAGAAGGAUGCUUUGAAGAAUCUUUCGGUCCCCCUUUUUUCUGUUUCAUUGCUGAUUUAGGAAGAUAAUCAGAAUUAUUGUUUUCUUUCUUCAAGCUUUCAGGUUCUUGCCUCUUUACGCGAAUACCAAUACCUGACCGAGGAUCAUAUUUCAUAUUGUAAAUGUGAGAGUACUCGGUAUCUCUUGGAAAUGAAGGCUUUUUGUUGAAAUGUUCCUUUUUUCGAGUAGAACUUUUUUUUGAAUACUUCUCGGAAGAUUCUUGGGGCUUCUUCGUAGUUGAGGCAAAUGGAGAAGACCAUUUUGAAUUUUUCCCUUUAUUAUAGGAAGCAUACGCACUUGUAUGCUUACUGGGAUUCGAAGUAGAAUUAGGCUUAUAUUGAGAUCUUGUACGAGUACUAAGACCAAACAAUUGAUCAUAAAUGAGACGCUUAGUAGCGUCACUUAAAACUUCAUGAGCCAACUGUAACCUUUGAAAGCGCUUUACUGCCCGCUCUUCGUCUCCAGGAUUCCUAUCUGGAUGAUACUGUAAAGCCAAGAACAAGUAUUGUUUUCGAAUUUGUUGGAAGGUAGCAUUUUUUUGGAGUUUUCUGUAAUAAAUUACAUGUUAGUAUCAAAAAUUACGCCUCCAAAAUAAAAAGCUUACAAAAUAGCAUAAUAGUCCACUGAGGUAUCUGUUUCGGGCCUUGCUAGCAUUUUAGAUCAUUCUGAAAUUGAUGAUAUAUUGCUUCUUAUUAUAUGGACGAAUUUAAAGCCCUUUGUACAAUUUCAAUUGAAUUCAACGACAAACUUUGUAUGUAAAUUGAAUUGAGAACACUGCUCCACCUAGUUUACUUUAGAGGUAUCUCUGAACUGGACUA